AGGAGUCUGAGAAGGGCUGGUCAAGGAGGUAUGAAGAAAACCACUACAGAGUGGAGACCAGGGAGCAUGUUUCAAGAACAGAGAAAACAGACAACCACAUUAAAUGCUAUUGAGAACCCAAUUAAGAUGAAGUCAGAGAAGUGUUCAAAUAAUUAACAAGUCCAGGGCCCAGCAGACUGAAACAAAAGGUGUGAAGUUCUUCUCAUCCAUCUUAAUGGGGUGUUAAUGACUGUAGAGGAUGACUGUGACCAUUUAAAUUUCUGUGGAAAUGCAGCUGCCAUUUAACCAGUGCCUGUUACUUCAUGCUCUGCAUAUGUGCUUUCGGAUAUUAUCUCCAAUCCUUCCAAAAAUCUCCAAAGGAAUGUUGCGACUCUCCUUUUACAGCAGGAAAACUAGGAAAAUGAGCCUCAGAGAGGUUGAACAACUUCCUCACAGUUACCCAGCCAGGAUUCAAAACUAUGUAAGCCCAAGUCUGUACUCUCUUUGCCACUCUGAUUAUUCACUGUGUAAAAAUUAAUUUUAAAAUGUAUUCUUACUCCUCUAAAAUCUGAAAAUAACAUUAUCUAGAGUACCACAGGACUAUUAUUAUUUUUUUAAUUCC
Long non-coding RNA from Panthera uncia (snow leopard), 601 nucleotides. RefSeq lists it as uncharacterized. The transcript is spliced from 3 exons. The record is from RefSeq and is a predicted model, not a curated record. NCBI's taxonomy places the organism in Eukaryota, Metazoa, Chordata, Mammalia, Carnivora, Felidae.